CCCAGCUAUGGAGGCCUUAAAAUCCGGUGAGCAGCUCUUUUUGCCCUUGUGAAUUUUCUGCACACCACCUUUGACCAGAGAACCCACUUCAGCACCAUCCAUGUAUGCUUUACAUGCAGCCAGAAUAUCAUGUGCACGAUGGUAAAAGUGGCCACUAACAAAAUCAUUGAAAUGCUGCACCCAAAGAAAAUGAGUUUAUGUUUAAAUCAAGAAAGAAUGCUCCACUUACAUAUUAGUUUAUUCAUAACCGAUUGACCAAUGGAGCAGCACGAAAAGAACUCAAUUAGAAAUAAUGAUGCAGCAAUUUUUACUUUGUUGAGUUCUUAGAUCUGAAACAAGGAAUGUAUUUUGGACCUACAUAUAGCUUUUAGGUCAUUAAUAUGAUGAUAGUUGCCUCCUAACUGCAUUAUAAUUUGUUCAGUCUGCAGGACAACACUUAUACACAGUUUUCAAUUUACGAGUCCUCGUCCUGCAAUGCGUGAGUUUUCUUUCUAAGUCAUGCUGAGACACUAAACGUCCUCAGAAUUGCAAAUUAUAAAUAACAAUGUAAAACAUAAUUCACAAUUGUAGGGCCAUAACCAGCUCUAAAUCUCCAUAAAAGCAAACACCUUUAAUUACUAACUACAAACUGACGAUCUUGAGGUCUUUUUGGUGUGGUAGGGUGGGUCUUGAGGGGGAAAAAAUUCUGAAAGAGAAUAUCAUUUUCCCAUUAGUAACACAUGAAGGUUUUAAGUAAAAGAUCCAAUUUUCAAGUAACAUAGAGCUUCAGGAUGCAAGGACUAGAUUUAAAACACUUGAAGCAAACAAAAAUACAAGAAACAAUUAUAUCAGGUAUCUAUGAGAAAAUGCUUUGAAAUUUGGAAUGUGAAACACACUAAGUCAAUUCAAGAGUGAUUUAAAAUUCACAAGAACCACUCUACCGAACAGACGUUGUUGUACUGUCAAUGUAUUGAAAGUAAUAGCUGGCUAGCUGCAGAUAAUAUGCUUUCGUGGCAAGUCUUGAAAGAUUUCCUACUAGAACUGUUUCUUAUAAAUUCAACAGAUUAUCAAGCAAUUCUCAGCAAUUUGCAGGAACUGAUGGACAACAAGAUACACCACAAAAGUGGAACGAUGCCAUGUUAAGUAAUUAUUAUUAAAAGUUAAAACAUACCUUUGGAGGUCUCCUGACAGUGUACAGCAUUGUCUUCAGUGACAAGAUAAAUGCACGCUCAUUGUACAUAUUGGACUGUCUUUCACCUUCUUCCAUGCUGUCCAUACUUUCCCAACCAGGUUCGUUAAAGUAAGGCCUUUCAUUCA
Molecule: long non-coding RNA, 1296 nt
Filed under: Citrus maxima (pomelo)
Lineage: Eukaryota; Viridiplantae; Streptophyta; Magnoliopsida; Sapindales; Rutaceae
Description: long non-coding RNA (CMAX_LNC001816)
Source: RNAcentral